GACGAACGCUGGCGGCGUGCUUAACACAUGCAAGUCGAACGGAAAGGCCUCUUUCGGGGGGUACUCGAGUGGCGAACGGGUGAGUAACACGUGAGUAACCUGCCCUUGACUUUGGGAUAACUUCAGGAAACUGGGGCUAAUACCGGAUAGGAGCUCCUGCUGCAUGGUGGGGGUUGGAAAGUUUCGGCGGUUGGGGAUGGACUCGCGGCUUAUCAGCUUGUUGGUGGGGUAGUGGCUUACCAAGGCUUUGACGGGUAGCCGGCCUGAGAGGGUGACCGGCCACAUUGGGACUGAGAGACGGCCCAGACUCCUACGGGAGGCAGCAGUGGGGAAUAUUGCACAAGGGGUGGAAGCCUGAUGCAGCAACGCCGUGUGCGGGAUGACGGCCUUCGGGUUGUAAACCGCUUUCGCUCAUGACGAAGCUUUGUGUGACGGUAGUGGGUAAAGAAGCACCGGCUAACUACGUG
RNAcentral lists this ribosomal RNA (467 nucleotides) under uncultured bacterium. RNAcentral describes it as "partial 16S ribosomal RNA". It matches the Rfam family "Bacterial small subunit ribosomal RNA", at positions 28 to 507 of the family's 1533-position model. The record is from RNAcentral.